RNAcentral lists this ribosomal RNA (439 nucleotides) under uncultured bacterium. RNAcentral's name for it is "partial 16S ribosomal RNA". It matches the Rfam family "Bacterial small subunit ribosomal RNA", at positions 339 to 795 of the family's 1533-position model. The record is from RNAcentral.
CUACGGGGUGCACCAGUGGGGAAUAUUGCACAAUGGGGGGAACCCUGAUGCAGCAACGCCGCGUGGAGGAUGACGCAUUUCGGUGUGUAAACUCCUUUUAUAUGUCAAGAAAAUGACGGUAGCAUAUGAAUAAGCACCGGCUAACUCCGUGCCAGCAGCCGCGGUAAUACGGAGGGUGCAAGCGUUACUCGGAAUCACUGGGCGUAAAGGACGCGUAGGCGGGUUGGAAAGUCAGGUGUGAAAUCCUACAGCUUAACUGUAGAACUGCACUUGAAACUUCUAAUCUAGAGUAUGGGAGGGGGAGAUGGAAUUAGUGGUGUAGGGGUAAUAUCCGUAGAUAUCACUAGGAAUACCUAAAGCGAAGGCGAUCUCCUGGAACAUUACUGACGCUAAGGCGUGAAAGCGUGGGGAGCAAACAGGAUUAGAUACCCCUGUAGUC